Long non-coding RNA from Diceros bicornis minor, 943 nucleotides. RefSeq lists it as uncharacterized. The transcript has 4 exons. The record is from RefSeq and is a predicted model, not a curated record. Lineage: Eukaryota; Metazoa; Chordata; Mammalia; Perissodactyla; Rhinocerotidae.
CAGCACACGCUUGUUUUUAAAUUAUUAUUUCAGUGACCGAUAGGUCGUUAGAGCUUCUUUUUCUGUGAUUGGAAAUAGACAGUGAAUGCAUCUCGUCACGUCUUAACUUCCUGGGGUCCUAAUAGAAAGUGUGUGUGUUGAAAAUAAAGGGACUGAUGGUUUGGGGCGUAGGAAGGAGAAUCAGAUUUAGGCCAAAGCUCCCUGAUUACAGAUGGGCUGCCUGCAGCCCAGAGAGCGGAAGGACCUGGCCCAAGGUCACUUGGAGUCGGAGGCCAGCUGCCCGGAACCCGGGUGGACGGGUUCCCAGGCCAGUGCCCACUCACAGCUGUCUGGCUCAGCGACCCCGCGUAGAGCAAGCGACGUGAGCUGUAGUUCCACUGGCCCUCAGGAAGGAAGUGGCAUAGUGCUCGUUCACCGCGCCGUGGCUGCUGUCGGGCCAGAGGGCCGGGGUCUCUGCCAGCCAGGGACCCUCCCAGCAGCUGACCUGUGUUUCUGUUGCAGAUCCCAUCCCUGCUCCAGGACAAUGAGCUCAUCCGGUCCGCACAGACCGUCACCCCCCAAUUCUCAGGCUGUUGAGAGUUCUCAGAAGAACCACCCACUGGAUACAUUCAAUUCGAAAAAUUUCUUCCAGUGAUGGAGUACUGCUGGAAAGAAGGUCUUAGAUCCAGCUAAACAUGGGAUCCUUUCACCAGAAGAACUGAUCAAGAUAUGACUGAAGAGGGUGAGCCUUUUUCUCUGGAGAAAAUGGAAGAAAUGUUGUCUGCUGCAAUUGAUCUGGAAUCGAAUUCAGUUCAUUUCAAGGAUUAUACAACAAUGAUAGUGAUAGAUGAAAAUUAAACAUUUUAAUGACUUAAUUUCUAAUUGAAAGGAUAAUUUUAAAAAUUGUUCACCGUUGUUAAUUUCACAUUUUAUCUUAUAAUUCCUACAUAUGAUAAUGCCUUGU